UUGCUUUGGCAGCACAUAUACUAAAAUUGGAAUGAUACAGAGAAAAUUAGCAUGGCCCCUGCGCAAGGAUGACACGUAAAUUCGUGAAGCGUUCCAUAUUUUG
Heterocephalus glaber (naked mole-rat) is the source of this 103-nucleotide small nuclear RNA. NCBI's taxonomy places the organism in Eukaryota, Metazoa, Chordata, Mammalia, Rodentia, Bathyergidae. The record is from Ensembl.